This 464-nucleotide ribosomal RNA is filed under the name uncultured rumen archaeon. RNAcentral's name for it is "bacterial SSU rRNA". It matches the Rfam family "Archaeal small subunit ribosomal RNA", at positions 1 to 453 of the family's 1478-position model. The record is from RNAcentral.
GAAUCCACUAGUGAUUUCUGUUUGAUCCCGGCGGAGGCUACUGCUAUUGGGAUUCGAUUAAGCCAUGCAAGUUGAAUGAAUUUAGAUUCAUGGCGUACGGCUCAGUAACACGUGGAUAACUUACCCUUAGGACUGGGAUAACUCUGGGAAACUGGGGAUAAUACUGGAUAUUAGGCUAUGCCUGGAAUGGUUUGCCUUUGAAAUGUUUUUUCGCCUAAGGAUAGAUCUGCGGCUGAUUAGGUCGUUGGUGGGGUAAUGGCCCACCAAGCCGAUGAUCGGUACGGGUUGUGAGAGCAAGAGCCCGGAGAUGGAACCUGAGACAAGGUUCCAGACCCUACGGGGUGCAGCAGGCGCGAAACCUCCGCAAUGUACGAAAGUGCGACGGGGGGAUCCCAAGUGUCAUGCUUUUUUGUAUGACUUUUCAUUAGUGUAAAAAGCUUUUAGAAUAAGAGCUGGGGCAGACC